Molecule: unclassified non-coding RNA, 356 nt
Filed under: soil metagenome
Description: partial contains 5.8S ribosomal RNA, internal transcribed spacer 2, and large subunit ribosomal RNA
Rfam family: 5.8S ribosomal RNA (bases 1-120)
Source: RNAcentral
GAUGAAGAACGUAGCGAAAUGCGAUAAGUAAUGUGAAUUGCAGAAUUCAGUGAAUCAUCGAAUCUUUGAACGCACAUUGCGCCCGCCAGUACUCUGGCGGGCAUGCCUGUUCGAGCGUCAUUUCAACCCUCGGGCCCCGCAUUCGUGCGGGCCCCGGCGUUGGGGACCGGCCUCCGCAUCGGACGGCCGCCCCCGAAACCCAGUGGCGGUCCCGCCGCGGCCUUCUCUGCGUAGUAUCAUACACCUCGCACUGGAGAGCGGCGCGGCCACGCCGUAAAAGAAACGAACUUUCUGAAGGUUGACCUCGGAUCAGGUAGGAAUACCCGCUGAACUUAAGCAUAUCAAUAAGCGGAGGA